Molecule: ribosomal RNA, 312 nt
Filed under: Triticum aestivum (bread wheat)
Lineage: Eukaryota; Viridiplantae; Streptophyta; Magnoliopsida; Poales; Poaceae
Description: partial small subunit ribosomal RNA
Source: RNAcentral
AUGUCCAUCAAAUACUUGGGUCAAUUGGUGCCUGUUCUUUGUUGCCCUCAGUGUGUUUUAGUUAUGAUUUUGCACCUUAUUGUGUUUGAUAAUCUAGGUAGAUUGAUUAUGCUCCUCGGUCAUGGUAUGUCUGACUGUAGGUGCUUCAUGGUUUAUAGAUUAAUGCCUCUAGAAAUAACGAACUUGUUGAGUGAAUUUGGAUCAGUAAAUGUGACUGAUGAACAAAGACCGCAAAGAAAGUAUGAUAUUUGUCGUCUUAUCAAUCCAUGUCAUGUAUUUAUGAACAUGUGUCAUGUGGGGCCAGCCCUAUAG